AUGAGGAUGUGGACAGCUUGGUGUGUGGCCAUGUACUUCUUUGGAGCAAGAGCUAAAAUCACCCAAACUUCAAGUCUUGUGCUGAAAGAAGAUGAGAAAGCUACUCUGACAUGCAGUCAAAAUGAUAAUCACAAUUUUAUGUACUGGUAUCUGCAGCAGCCAGGGAAGGGGCUGCAAUUGGUCUAUUAUUCCUUUGGUCCAAAUCAGCAACAAAAGGGUGACAUUCACGAUGGAUACGAAGCUAAGCGGUUAAACCUCACAGAUUUCUAUUUGGAUAUUUUAUCUGUGAAGAUGAACUAUUCAGCUGUCUAUUUCUGUGCCAGCAGUUUGGACACAACACUUCAAAGUCCCUUGCUUUCUUUACAUAAACUCCUCUCCUUUCCAGCACCUUCCCUGAGAAGGGAGCCGCUGUCGGCACAGGAAAAGG
Non-coding RNA from Cariama cristata (Red-legged seriema), 427 nucleotides. The record is from the annotation of a RefSeq genome assembly. Lineage: Eukaryota; Metazoa; Chordata; Aves; Cariamiformes; Cariamidae.